GGUGGAAUAGCCAAGUGGUUAAGGCAAAGGUCUGCAAAACCUUGAUCUCCGGUUCAAUCCCGGAUUCCACCU
RNAcentral lists this transfer RNA (72 nucleotides) under Priestia megaterium. RNAcentral describes it as "Bacillus megaterium tRNA-Cys". It matches the Rfam family "tRNA". Rfam says of the family: Transfer RNA (tRNA) molecules are approximately 80 nucleotides in length. Their secondary structure includes four short double-helical elements and three loops (D, anti-codon, and T loops). Lineage: Bacteria; Bacillati; Bacillota; Bacilli; Caryophanales; Bacillaceae. The record is from RNAcentral. RNAcentral also lists the same sequence under 10 other names.